GCCCGCUCAGAAACUCAAAGGAAUUGACGGGGGCCCGCACAAGCGGUGGAGCACGUGGUUUAAUUCGAUGCAACGCGAAGAACCUUACCUGGUCUUGACAUCCCGGAGACCCUUAGGAAACUAGGGGGUGCUUCCAUCUGGAAGAAUCUGGAGACAGGUGCUGCAUGGCUGUCGUCAGCUCGUGUCGUGAGAUGUUGGGUUAAGUCCCGCAACGAGCGCAACCCUUGCCUUUAGUUGCCAGCAGUUCGGCUGGGCACUCUAAAGGGACUGCCGGUGUUAAACCGGAGGAAGGUGGGGAUGACGUCAAGUCCUCAUGGCCUUUAUGACCAGGGCUACACACGUACUACAAUGGCCGAUACAAAGGGUUGCCAAGCCGCGAGGUGGAGCUAAUCCCAUAAAACCGAUCGUAGUCCGGAUCGCAGUCUGCAACUCGACUGCGUGAAGUCGGAAUCGCUAGUAAUCGUGAAUCAGAAUGUCACGGUGAAUACGUUCCCGGGCCUU
This 501-nucleotide ribosomal RNA is filed under the name uncultured Desulfobulbus sp. RNAcentral describes it as "bacterial SSU rRNA". It matches the Rfam family "Bacterial small subunit ribosomal RNA", at positions 887 to 1382 of the family's 1533-position model. Lineage: Bacteria; Pseudomonadati; Thermodesulfobacteriota; Desulfobulbia; Desulfobulbales; Desulfobulbaceae. The record is from RNAcentral.